GGGCAUGUGGUGUAAUGGCAGCAACCGGGAUCUCAAACCGGGAUGUCGGUUCGAAUCCGACCAUGUCCA
Molecule: transfer RNA, 69 nt
Filed under: Rosellinia necatrix
Lineage: Eukaryota; Fungi; Ascomycota; Sordariomycetes; Xylariales; Xylariaceae
Description: tRNA-Glu
Rfam family: tRNA
About the family: Transfer RNA (tRNA) molecules are approximately 80 nucleotides in length. Their secondary structure includes four short double-helical elements and three loops (D, anti-codon, and T loops).
Source: RNAcentral